RNAcentral lists this ribosomal RNA (497 nucleotides) under uncultured bacterium. RNAcentral's name for it is "partial 16S ribosomal RNA". It matches the Rfam family "Bacterial small subunit ribosomal RNA", at positions 28 to 507 of the family's 1533-position model. The record is from RNAcentral.
GAUGAACGCUGGCGGCGUGCCUAAUACAUGCAAGUCGAGCGAACAGAUGAGGAGCUUGCUCCUCUGACGUUAGCGGCGGACGGGUGAGUAACACGUGGAUAACCUACCUAUAAGACUGGGAUAACUUCGGGAAACCGGAGCUAAUACCGGAUAAUAUAUUGAACCGCAUGGUUCAAUAGUGAAAGACGGUUUUGCUGUCACUUAUAGAUGGAUCCGCGCCGCAUUAGCUAGUUGGUAAGGUAACGGCUUACCAAGGCAACGAUGCGUAGCCGACCUGAGAGGGUGGUCGGCCGCACUGGAGCUGGGACGCGGUCCAGACUCCUACGGGAGGCAGCAGUAGGGAAUCUUCCGCAAUAGGCGAGAGCCUGACAGAACAACGCCGCGUGAGUGAUGAAGGUCUUCGGAUCGUAAAACUCUGUUAUUAGGGAAGAACAAAUGUGUAAGUAACUAUGCACGUCUUGACGGUACCUAAUCAGAAAGCCACGGCUAACUACGUG